GAAAACCAAAAGUGGAGUUCCAUUAUAUUUGGCCUGAGGAUUUUGAAGGAAGAACUAUUCUUGGAGGAGAUCACAGUCCUGCCACUGAUGACAUGUCAUGGAUGACACCUAGGAGCCAUUUUGGCUGGGAUUAACAGAGAAAUGUUGACGUAGAACAAAGAGGAACAACAACAAAUCCUUAGGAAAAAUAGAACUAAUUCUAUUUUAGUGCACACUUCACGAAAAGACAAAAGAAACUAAGAGUUUUAAUUAGUAUAGAUUUGUUUGUUGUCACCAAAAAUUUCAGUAUAUAUGUCAGUAUAUCCAAGCUGUUGUUGUAUUCAUUAAUCCAUUGCUCUAUCGAUU
RNAcentral lists this unclassified non-coding RNA (345 nucleotides) under Hevea brasiliensis (rubber tree). Lineage: Eukaryota; Viridiplantae; Streptophyta; Magnoliopsida; Malpighiales; Euphorbiaceae. The record is from RNAcentral.